Molecule: long non-coding RNA, 16627 nt
Filed under: Lactuca sativa (garden lettuce)
Lineage: Eukaryota; Viridiplantae; Streptophyta; Magnoliopsida; Asterales; Asteraceae
Description: long non-coding RNA (LSAT_LNC009744)
Source: RNAcentral
CAGAACCCAAGCAAUGCUUAUCUGUAUGUUUAUGAAAUGUUAGUAUGUGAUCAGUAUGUUUAUGAUAUGUUACUAUAUGAUCAACAUGUUUAUGAUGAUAGUACGUGAUCAGUAUGUUUAUGACAUAUUAUUAUGUGAUAGUGGUAGGGGUGAAAUAGUCCCCGAUUACUGGUUGAAAGAUACCGAUGAUAGUUACCGGUUGAAAGAUACUGAUGGUAUUAGGUGGUAUGUGGUAUGAUGGUGGAACUCACUAAGCUUCGUGCUUACGGUUUACAGUUUUGGUUUCAGGUACUUUGUUUCAAAGGAAAGGAGUCGGCUUGGUCGCAGCGCAUCACACUAUGUUUUCCGCACACGAGAUCCUUGGGAUUAUACUCUGAUAUUAUUUCAUAAUAUUAUAUUUUGAUUAUUCACACUCUGAUUUUAUAUAAUAACCUAAUUAAAAAUAAAAUUUUUGUUCUUGAAUUUUGGGAUGUUACAAGUUGGUAUCAGAGCCUUGGUUUGAGGGAUUCGGACAUACUCUCAGGUGUGUCUGAACUCAAAAUAAGGGCUUGGUAUGAAAAUUUUCAAAAGUAAAACCAUUUUACAAAAAGGAAAUUGAAAAGAAUCUGUAAAGGGAAAAGAACUUUGAGAACAAAGUGUGUGAUGCGUGCAAUCAGCUGAGCUUAAGUAAAUUUUCCCCAAGAUACCCAUGCGUGUUAUGAUAUGAUUAUGAAAACUGCAUGCUAGACUAGGGCUAGGGAUCUAGGAAGAUGACUUAUGUUCCUGUUGUAUGUGCUUGCUGAAUUACAUGAUAGUAUUGAUCAGUCAGUGAUAGGAUACCUGUUUAGGUUAUGCCUGAUUGUAUGACCCUUUGGAGUUACAUGCUAGUAUAUAUUCUUGAUAGGAGGGUAAACGGAUUUGAUUGGAAUGUGUUGGUUAGAUUUCCCAUUAUCUGAAUGUUGCUUGCUUUGUGCUUUGAGGGACUCUUGGUAAUGUGAGUUAGCUACUAAGUGAAUAUGCUAAAUCGCGAGUGGCUACAUUUAUGAGGUAGUGAGUUGACAUUACUGGGGAGUCUGUCAGCAGCUAAGGACUGGGUGAGUACGGGAACCUAGGAAAGCCUAGUAAGUGCUUUAGUGGGUUCGGUUGCGUUGUUAGUAAUCAUUCAGGGUACCAGUUUGAGGAAGUGACUUGGAGGAUUAAGGAGGAUUGUUGCGGAAAGUAUGGAUAGGUGUGGAAGGUAGUAUUGGGCCCGUACUACUGAAAGCACAGGAUCCAUACUCGAAUCGGAGAGAGUCUUGGAGAAUCUGAGAAGCUUCGGGGAGAACUUUGUGACUCGGUUUGGGGAUAGAGGAUGUUCCAGUUGUUACAGCAUAGCCAUUGGCAAGCGAGCUAGUGAUUGUGACAGAGUGUCAGACCCUGAAGGAUAUGAUUUCCAAGAAGUUGUAGAUGCGAGAUCGAAUUGGGAGCACUCUAGAACGAGAGGUUCAUGUCAGGUGUGUUUAGUAGAGGGUUCCGGGAAGAGACCUAUGACUUCCGGUCAUCGGGUGAAAGGCCAGCAGGGCCAGAGUCAGUGCAUCACAUACAGCAAAGUGCACAAGGGAGUUUGUCGCUCCAAGGGUUUAGGCUACUGCAGGGUAGCGCGGUUGAUCGUGAUAGUUGAGGGUGUUCAGUAUUCCUUCAGAUGUUGUAGGUAUGUCGUCUUCUACUGCUAAUAAAUGGAUGAUGGGAAUACGUAUCACUUUGGGAUUGUGAGCGAGUUUGGGUAAGUCAGAUCUCGGGUCGAUUUUCUGCUGGUGUUUGGGUUAUCAGGGAUCAUAUAUGCCAUCCAGCAUGCCGAAAGGUCCUUGAUGAACCCACAGAAGGAUGUACCUUGCGGAGUGGGUUCCGCGUGUACCGUCAUCAUCCCGAAUCUUUGUCGAGAUAUGUGCAGGAGUAUUGUUUGGAAGAUCCUCGGUCAGGGUUAGAGAGAUAGUUCUGCAUUGAAGUUAGUGUUCAGUGGUACUGUGAGAUUGGAAGUGGGAACGAGGACUCGUCAGCCAGAGUGAAGAUUAAGGCCUCUAGUGUCAGCACGGGAGGUGGAUUGAGGUGUCAGAUUGGACCAGAUUUCAAGAGUACUCAUCGAGAUUUCCGAGUAUGGGCGAUCUUAAUGUUUAACCGAUGACUAAUCGCUAGGAUUGGUAAGCACAGGUUGUCAUCAGUGGGAUACUAGAAAGAGAGAAGGAUUGGGAAUCCUUCAAUUCUUACGUGUUGUGAAGACUUAGUUGAAUCUAAGUGGGGGAUAUACUUUUUAUAAAGUUCUCUAAUUGUGAGUUCUGGUUGCGUGGGGUGCAAUCUCUUGGGCACCUUGUCAACCAGAAGGGUAUUCUAGUUGAUCCGGCCAAGAUAGAGGUCGUGAUGCAGUGGGAGAAUCCGAGGUCACCAUCUGAGAUUCAGAGUUUCCCGGGUCUAGCAGGUUAUUAACGGAGACUUAUACGAGACUUCUCUGAGAUUGUGGUUCCUUUGACCCGACUGACCAAGAAUUCAGUGGCCUUUCGUUGGGAGCCUGAGUAGCAGGCAGCCUUUGAGACUCUCAGACAGUGGUUGUGCGAGGCACUGAUGCUCACUAUUCCAGAGGGUGUAGAUGAUUUCGUGGGUUACUGUGAUGCUUUGAUCAUGGGAAUGGUUUGUUGUACUGAUAGAGUGGGGUCACAUGAUAGUAGGUUUUAGGAACCAGGUUAGAGUUCCAGUUAGGAAUCAAGUUCAGUGGUGUGUUAGGUCGAAUGUGUGUUUGACCCAGUUAGAAAGUGUUGUAAGACUACAGGGGUAGCUGUAUCAUCCACUAGUGGUCAGAUAGUUAGGGAAGUGUCGUAAGACUACGGGGGUAGCCGUAGCAUUCACUAGUGGUCAGAUAGUUUCGAAGGUGAUGUAAGACUACGGGAUAGCCGUAGCAUUCACUAGUAGGGAUGCAAAAGGGGGCGGAUAUUAGCGGGGAUUGCAAAACCCAUCCCCGUACCCGACUUCCACUGCCCAUACCAUCCCCGCGCCCGCCCCGCCAAAUGCCCGACGGAUUCGGGUAAAAAUAUCCCCAUCGGAUACAGGGAACCCGAUGGAUACCCGUUUAGUAUAAAAAGCACAAUUACUUUUGUAAUUCUAAAAAUAUAGAUAAGCAUAAACAAUGAUUGUGACAACGAAAAUGUUCAAAAGUUCAUACUUCAUUUUCAUAAAUGAUACAAUACAAAAAAUCACGGCAUUUUCAUGUGUGUUAAGAAACUAAAAAAUAAAACAACAAUUAUAAAUUCCAUUCUUGCGUUCUUGUUCAAAAAAAAAUUUAUCUUCAUCGCCAUCGAAUCUUUAUAAACUAAUUAUCAAAAUCUAGCAUGCUUGUAUCCACAAUGCUUGUAUUAUGCUUGUAUCCACAAUGCUUGUAUUGAUAAUGCAAAUGUGUUCUUUUUCCCACUUAAUUGUUUCCUGCAAUAAUAAAGAAGAUGAUAUUCGGUUGUAAAAGAACGAAUAGUAAAUAUCAAUGUGCAAGUAUUUUUCUUAUAUUAAACAACCCUCGAGAGUCCAGAGGAUAUGGAUUAAAAAGUUAAUGGAAUACAUAUUCAAAAUAUUAUAUAACAGCAAAUAGCAAACGAAAAAAUCCAUAUUUUUGCACAACACUAAAUAUAUAUCAGUUAUCAGUGGCUCUUAGAAAACAAUGCCUUCAAUAUUUCUAUUACUCCUAACUGGAUCGAUUCAAUAAAAAUAAAAAUAAUGUCCAAGUAUUUUCUUAUUUUAUACAUCUAGGAGCAAGCCAUUAAUUCUACUGAUUCCGUUAAACCACAAAAAUGGAUCGAUUAUUGCAAAGAACGUGUUGAGUUAAGUAAAGGAAAUCGAUAUUGCAAAGACCAAGUACAUAAAAUCGAGUAAAGAAAACAUAUUUCAAAAAACGAUUACUUAAAAUCGGUUCAACCAAAUUGAAAAAACGAUUAUAGAAAAUCAAGUACAAGAAACCUAUUAAAGAAAAGAAAAACGAGUUCGGUAAGGAAAAGAAACAUACUUAUCCGAUAGAGGAGAAUCGUUCACAGCCAUACUUGAAGGAGAAAAGAAAAAAAAUAAGUUUGGUAACGAAAAGAAGGGGAAGUUGAGAAGUAGAGUAUGGAAGCGGAUUUCUAAUGUUUUGAAUCAAAGAAUUUUACUAGAGAAGUAGAACUGGAGAAUCGAAAUGCAGGAAAAGUCUUCGACAUUAAUAAAUGCAGGAGAAGUGUCGAGUUUGAAAUCGAAAUGCAGUGGAUGCAAUUGGAUUUCUCACAGGUCACAUGCUCACAGAUUACUAAGAGACACAUGACGGUUCAAUAGUCUAUGUGUUGUGAAUUGAAAACAAUUAAUAGCAAUUAAUGAAAAUUAAAAACUGAUUUUGAUAUAGAUAUAUAUACCAGAAAUUAAUAAUUAAUUCAAAUUAGCAUGUCUGCCACGUAAGGUACUGAAAGCCCUUGCUGCUUCUUCAUUCCAGGUGAAGCUAUCUGGCUUUCUGGAAGAAAGGUGCCAGGUUCAUCAGGGUCGAAAUCAAACCUGAUAGAAGAUUCAUCAAAGUGCUUGGGUUCCUCAAAUGCCCAACUCGAUUUGGACUUAUCGGGUCUAAAACGGAGCGGAUAGUAUUAUACCCGUCCCCGCCCCGUCCCCGUUUCGGGUAAGAUAUAUAAUCCCCAUCCCCGAUCCGUUACCCGUUAAAGCGGGGAAUCCCCGAUCCGUUCGGGUCGGGUCCCCGCGGGUCGCGGGGAAUCCCCGACCCGUUUGCAUCCCUAUUCACUAGUGGUCAGUUAGUAUGGAAAGUGUUGUAAGACUACGGGGGUAGCCGUAGCAUUCACUAGUGGUCAGUUAGUUUGGGGAGUGUUGUAAGUCUGCAGAUGUAGCCGUAGCAUUUGUUGGGUUGGUAGAUAGCAUGUGUGCAUUGUUAGGACGCGGAAGGAGCAAUAGUACCCACCAGUUCGGGUGCAGCAGUGAGGAUAUGGAAAUCCACAGAUUGGAUUUCGGAUUUACUCAAAUGGAUUAGAUCUGGUUAAGCCAAUGAGACUGUAGGGGCGUCACUACAAUUAUGGGAUCAGGAAACCAAUGGACUGUAUGAGAUUUCUUGUGAUUUAAGGCUACCAUCGGUUAGUUGGCAAUCACUGUUAGCCUUGGAUUUGAUGAUGAUAAGAUUCAAUGCAUGGACGCGUUCGGUUAGAUCAGAAAGUUGUUAGAGCCUCAAUGACAUGAUAACUAGUGGCAACUAGUUCUGGAGAAGGAUUUUGUUCGUAAGUCACGUGAGGCGACUAAGUGGGAGUCCCUUGGCUCCACUGUCGGGCCGAAACCUGGUAUUUCAGAUGGUUGGUGAAUAAAUUGAGACCAGGAAGGUCUCGUUAGAUUUUGGAAAGCAACCAUGUGGCAACAUACUUCUUCAGGUAGUUUAGUGUUCGGGCAGUUUCAGUGUUUGGGCAGUCUUGGCAUUUUUGUUUCAGGUUGCAAGUACGGACGGAAUAGCCGGUUGUCGGGGAAGUGACAAGUCACUCCCAGCAGGAUUAGAUGAGCCUCGAUCAAGAUUAAGUGAUUUGUAGGGGUAAUUAGGUCUGUGAGCCUGUUUUAUAGUGGGAGCCUCGAGUUGUUGAAAGUUGAGUAGUCGGUCGAGGGAUAAACGGACUGGAUUCAUCGAUGAUGAAUCAAUAUGAGUGGUCUGUCAAGGAAUCAGACCAUCUCGAGAUAGUAGAUUCAGACGAAGUAGAUGUGAACUUAUUGUGAGAAAUUCGUUCACCUGCGGAUUUUAGGGCUUUACGAGGAUUAGUCAUGGCUACCCUGGGAAGGCUAGGGCGUGGCUAGGUUGGUGACCAUGCUACUAGAGUGGUUGGGCGAGUAAGGAAUGGUAAGGAAUGAUUUCGAGGACGAAAUCUAAUUUAAGUGGGGGAGAGUUGUAACAACCGUUUAUUAAUUAAAUAAAUAAAUAAAGAAAUAAAGGACUCGUAGCCCUAAAGUAAAUAAUUAUGUAUAAAAGGAUGGUCUCGAAGAGCUAAUUGCCACCAUUUUAGAAGUCGAGGGUUAAAAGUGUAAUUUUCGGACUCAGUUUAUAAUUAUUUAUGAAGAUAGGGGCUCUGUGGUAAUUAGUUGAAUUUAAUUUAAAAGGAAAUGAGGUGGAAGGGCUGAUUAUGUCAUAACUGAGAAUUAGAGGUUAAAAAGCGAAAUUAUGGAUUGAUUUUGAAAAGGAUUUGUUGAGAGAGGGGUUGUUUAGUAAAAUUUGGACUUAAAUUGUAAAGGAAUUGAAGAGGCAGGGUCCAAAUGGUAAUUUGUGGGUUUGUUUUGAAAGAAAGGGAGACAGAGGGACCAUUCCUGUCAAUAUGGCCGCGAGUUUCAAACACCGGGUAUUUAACUGUGUUAUUGAUCUCAUAACCCUAACCCUAAUGUGCAACAGCCGUCACCCUCUCCAUCUUCACUUCUAGUAGCCGCCACCACCAUUAGAACCCUCAUCACCACCGGACGUUGUGAUCGUCAGAGAGAGAGAACCGUCGNUCAUAGAAUCCCUCCUUAGCCGCCGAUGGCAUCACGGAUUCCGGCAAGCAUGCCGUUUCCCAGCCGUCGUUUCCUUCAUUGUCCAGGUCAGGCGAGACUGACGAGCUCGCUGUUCCAGUAGAUGCCGCUACCGCUGUUUAUGCUAAAAACGACCGAGGAACCGCAGUGUUAUCUAGCUGCCGAUGAGGACGAAGUGUCCACUACCCAGUCGUUGAGAUCGAGAAUGAUUUCGUGGUUGGGUCGCUCCCUCUCAUAUCCGACGGAGGCGAGCCUUGAACCUUGGUGGGGUCGUAGGAAGGCUAGUCGAGCACGUCCCGUAAUUGCCACCGUCUUCCCUCUCUUGUCCCUAUUCUCUUGCCGUGGCAUUGUCUCCGGGGAAGGCGUGGUUGCCACCGCCGGUAACUACUACCGUUGCCGUCAGAAAUGGCCUUUGGUCGCCGUUUCAAUUUGUUUCAGACGCCACUGUGUCGUUGUUCUCCUCCGUUGUUAAUGUGAGGGUGUGUGCUUUGCGUGUGUGUGUUAGUUUCAGCUGGCUGUUGGUGAUUAGAAUGUGUUGUGUGUGUCUUGUCUAGUCGGAACCCCAAGAAAAGACCACCACCACCGUGAGGUGGCGGCUGACACCGUGUACCACCACUGACCACCACAAGGGUGGUUGUGGGUAUGCGUUGUUUUAGUAUAGCGUGUGUGUUAUUUCAUGAAUUCAUUGUAAUUGUAAAAAAACCGGAAUAAUGAAAUGGAACUCAAACCACUACCGUAGGGUGGUGGCUGCCGCCUCCUACCGCCACCGGCCGCCGUGUCGGGUGGCGGUGUGCUUAGUUGUGUUUUAAUUUAGUUGGGAUGCUUGGACAAGGGACUAAAACCCUAAUGGGCCUUGUAAGCCCUAAUGGGCCCAAUAAAGCCCUAAUUGACAUUAAAGCCCAAACAUGUGUCUAAUGGGCUUAGUGAACCCUAAUGGAUGUAAUGACUUAGCUAUUGGGCCUAAUGGACUAAUGUGGUUUGGAAACCUUAAUUAGGGUCUGGAAAACCCUAAUGCAAUGAAACGCUAAUUUUGAGAAUUAAUCGGGACACACACACGAGAAUUAUUAAUAACUUGAAAUAUUAAAUAAUAAGCAUUGGCCAGAUUAAUCUAAGCGAUAUUGGACUUAAUGGAUUAAGUCCUUAGAGGAUUAAGUCCUUAUUGGGUUAAGUAGGAAACCUAACCCUAAUUGUCAUUUUAUGUGAAACCCUAAUCUCAUUUCGGUUUAUUAUUGGGCCUUGAUGAUCGGGUUAUUAAUGGGUCAUCCAAAGUCAAGCAAUUGGACUAAAAUAAAUUAAUGGGCUUUGUUGUAAGGACCAUAUGAGGAGUUGGGCCCAAUUUAGAAAAUUGGGCCAUAGAUGGGCCAUAGUUUGGGCCUUCAUGAUUAUAUGAUAUUGGGCCUUAGAAUAAGACCAUGUAUAGGCCUGGGCCCAAUUUGGAAAAUUGGGCCAUGUGCUGGGCUUUGAUUCCUAGUUGACUUUGGGCCUAUGGAUUGGGCCUUGGGCUUGAAUAUGCCAAACUUAGGGUAAUGUAGUAAUUAUCCAAGUAUGUGUUAUGGUUAUGUAGUGGAACCCGAUUAUUAAUUGGGUGUUAUUUUGGUAUUGACAGUUCGGGAAUCUGUCAUCUAGCAGUUGGGGUUGAGUCUGCGGGACUUUAGCAGUGUGGGAUUGUGUCUACGGGACUUCAGCAGUGUGAGGUGAGUUACCUUCCAGUAGGGGUGGGUCUAAGGCCACAAUGCCGGCCCACCAACAGGGGUAAUUGUCUUUGUGAUAAUUAUCUUGGUAUGUUUAUGUGAUAUGCUCUUGAGAUAUGCUUAUGUGAUGUCCUUAUGAGAUAUGUUUAUGUGAUAUGCUUAUGCGAUAUGCUAUGUGUGUUAGUGGUAGUAGCAGGUAAUAGUUUUUCCCUGACUCGGUCGUUAGGAUCUGUGACAUCCCCAUUUUUCACGGCCAGAAAAGACCGAUUUUUGUUUAUACUUUAUAAAAAUCAGAGUACUUAUUUGAAUAAAAAUGUUGUGAAAUUUGUUCUCAGUAAAACAUGAAAAAUACGUUAUCAAAGCAUUUUUGAAGAAAUGUAUUUUUAUUCAUUUUAAAACGUUUGGGAUGUCAUCGUUAAUACAGAUACAUAAGCAUAAACAGAACUUACAUUCAUUAUCACUAGUGAUCUACAUCUCUUUAAUCUCCUAGUGUAAUGUGACUUCAUAUCAACACCUGUGAUAUAAAUAAACUGAGUGGGUUCGGUUGGGAAACAUGGUGAGUACAAAGGGUUUUCAUCCCACAAUAAAUAAGUUUAUUAAUUUUAUCAAACCAAACAAACCCGAUUACCCGUUCCCGUUAUCCUCACUUUAUAUCCCUAAGACAUCUAACACAAGGGACCUAGUCUAAGGACUUUCAUCGGGGUGACAACACAUGCUUUGGGGGUUCCUUAGUAAUUCAUGUCAAAUAAGGCAACCAUGUGGGGGAUGGAGUACUUCACACAGAUCAAAUAAACACACAGUUCAAAUAAACACUUACAGGUUGCGAGCCUGCUAGCGUUCCACUGGACUGUCUAGAAAAGUCCGUGGUCGUCAUCUAUACUCCGCUAGAUGACUGGAUCAUCAAAACAUCUAUAUCGAGGCCUCUUGUUAUAUUAUUUGGUCACACAGAAACUAUUACAUCUACCCAUGUUCUACCCAACACAUUUUGUAGAUAUAAAAUACAUAUUCAGUUUAAAUCAUGUAAAACUUGUAUAAAAUCGUUCAUCCAACAUAGAUAGCAAGUAUACAGAUCGUAUGCACACAUAGCACGUAAUUUAUUUAAAAUACUUCAUAUGUAUGUGUAAGAUGAAAGUAACUGUGCACUCACUUUAUUAGGUGGUGAGCCGGCACUCGGACAACACUUCGUUACUCAUAAAACAAUUUCCUCGACAAAACCUAGUAUCAAUAUGAGUAGGGUUUAGUCUGACGUUAACCGCGACUAAUUAAUAGUCUAUCUAUCUAUUAUUAUUAUAUAAACAUUAAAUAACACUCUAUAUAACUCAUAAUAAUAGCCCAAAUACUUAUUAUAAGGUCCUAAUAACAUUACUAUAUUAAAACAUAAGUUAUACUAAAGAUAGGGUAGGCAUAGCUCACUUACAGCGGGUUUUCUUGAAAACCGGGCUUCGUUGGAGCAGCGUUCCCGAGCCAAAAGGCUCUUUUCUCGGGACUCUGAGAGCCUCGAUGCUUCCUUCGGGUGCUAGGGGGUUUACCUAGACUUUAGGGGGCUUAAGGGAGGUUACAGAAAGAAACUAGAGAGAGAAAGUUUAAGGGUGAGGUGUGAGGAAGUUGGAAUGCCCGACACCUCUAUUUAUAGGCUGAAUUCCUGAUGGACUCGCCAAGUAGGAGGACGUACUCUNAGUGUAGAGAGAGAAAGAAUGGUUUGGAAAGGUGUGAGAAUGAAUGGAACCCGACACCUCUAUUUAUAAUGUGAAAUACUGAUGGAAUCGCCGAGUAGGAGGACCUACUCGCCGAGUUGGGGCAUAUGGCGGCAUUCUGGUGGUGCCACGUCACCCCCUAUCGAGUAUCAGCCUUCAAACUUAGAAAAAUCACAACUUUCGCAUACGAGCUCCGUUUUUGACGUUCUGUUUUUCAACGCGUAGGAAAAAUCAAGAUCUACAACUUUCAUUUAGACUCCGUCGGCUAAUUCUCGACCGAUCUCAAAUUUAACAGUAGGAGGCGUUUAGACUGUUAAAUGACCGCGAAGAAUUCGUAACUUCUUCAUACGGACUCCGUUUUCGUAUAUCUUUUUACCGUUGAGUUCCUAUUAAUGAGAUAUUCAACUCUCAUUUAGGUCGCAUAAGCCAAAAACUGCUCAAACUAAAAUUCGAGUUUUGGGGUGUACACUACUAAGCCGAAACUUCGAAAAAUCAUAACUUCCUCAUACGAAGUUAGAUUUGGGCGUUCUUUUUAUGAAUUUUCUCGUUUUAACAUACUAUACAACUUUGGUUUAGAUUAGUAAGGCUAAAAAUUCUUCUAUCGUAAAUUCACUUUUUACGCUUCCCGGUGCCAUGCCGGUUUUGUCGUAAAACUUCGACGGGCCAUAACUUUUUCGUUAUAACUCGGAUUUCGGCUUUCUUUAUAUGUACGGAAACCUUGAGACAUAUUAUAAAACUUGGGUUAAUAUUAUUUAUUAUAAAUAAUCUUUUGUCGAAAAGUCAUUUUCAAUCCCUAUUGCCUUUAAAUUUACUAGCCCGGAUCUACGGGCGUUACAAUUAUCUCCCCCUUAGGAUGAUUACGUACCGGAAUCAUCAAUGAAACAGGGCUCUUAUAAUGACUCCAUACGUCAUCUCUUCAUCCUAGGUAAUAAUUAUAACUUCUUUAUUCCUUCAAGUCUAUCUCUUAGACUUAUUGACUGUAAGCAGUACUUGAUCGUGCACUUGCUCUCUACCUCAGGUUAGACUCCAAGUUAUGACCUAUCAUCAUGUGAUGCACGUUUAGACUCAGGUCUCUUAGAGUUAAAUUCUAAAACAUACUAUGCCUUCCUUCAUAUUCUAAUGUGAUAUAAUCACACUUUAACAUGUAGCAUUUCUAGCUACCAACUUCUUUAACAACGAGCGCAAUACUUCUAUUUAUCGCUUUGAUUUCAAUCGUUUGGUUUAAGUCGGACGCUACAUCAAACUUGGUUCUCUAAAACACGUAACCUACUCAUCGUAGUUGGACUCAAUGUGAUAUGACCACUAGGGUCGGGAUAACAACAAUUUUCUUAGUCAUUACCGAAACAAUGGUAACGACAUACUUGAAUAAAGCGAAAUCAUUUACUAGCCUCUUGGUAACCUUGUGACUUUCCCUGAUCCAAGUGUGAGUCCUGUGCUUCCGGUAGUAUAGGCCUCUACUACCUUUCACACCUACUCAUACUCGUCCCAAGUAUUGUCCCGCAGUUCACCCAAGUCACCAUACAAGAAAAAUCAUAUAACAACUUGACACAUUAGAUAACAAAACUAGGUUUUAUAUUAUUCCUUGAAACGAUUACAUAGGUGUUCAAGUUCAACCUAUACUAUGCCUCUAAUAGGCUACACCACGUGGUACUACUUACACGACUACUUCAUAGAUCCUCAUUCCUGAUCCCUUUCAUUUCCAUCUUCUUCGUCGAGGAUCAUAUGGAACGCUCUUGCCUUCGGUUUUGGUGGAAUGUUUGGUCUUUUUGCCUCCUUCUUUUUCAGGCAAUCCUUAGCAACAUGCCCUUCUUCACGGCAUUCAUAACACACCCUUUUGUUGGCGGUGCACUCGUUGGCAUAAUGUAAGGUCUUCCCACACUUGUAGCAAGUCACUUCCUCGCUACAUUUCCUAAAGUGAUCCUUCUUGCACUUCUUGCAUCAUUUCACUUUGUUUCCUCCUCCGCUAAACUCCUUUGAACCAGACUUGAUCUUCUUAUUAGGCCUCGUAGACCCCUCAAACUUCCUCUUUUCGCCAAAAUCAAUCUUGUUGGCAGCUCUUCCCUUAAUCAUAUCCUCCACAGACUUUGCAGCCCAGAUAGCUACCUCCAGAGUAGGUGCCUGACGCACUGGCACCGCGUACUCCCAUGGAAGUCCCUUUGCGUACUUGUCGAUUUUCGUCAGCUCAUCCGGAACAAGACGCAAGGCGAAUUCCAUCUUCUCUGUGAAGUUGUUGGUGUAUUCAUCAAUUGACAUGCUUCCUUUCUUAAAGGUCAGGAACUGGUUCUCUAGCUCGAGUAAGUUUUGAGCUGAGCAGUACUUUCGUUUGAAUUGCACCAGAAACUCUGCCCAUGUCAGUUGCAGGGGCUCAUUGGGGCUCAAAGUCUUCCCUAGGGUGUUCCACCAGCGAACAACGCCUCCUCGAAACUGACGUACUGUAAAUGUGGUCUGUAGUUUUCCUCUGCAACUGCAUGUCAUGAAGGCUAACUCCAUCUCCGAGAUCCAAUCCAUGACUCCGAUCGGAUCUUCCUUUCCCGUGAAAGUCGAGGGCUUGCAACUCAGAAAAUCCUUGUACUUGCAUUCAUUCAUCUCGACUCCGUCAUUUUGGUUGUUUUGUUGAACUAUUGGUGGGUUGACUUGACCAACAGUCCCACUGUAGUUUCCCUCCUCAAUCUGCCCUUCGUUUAAUUUGGGCUGUUCGAUCUGAAUAGUCGCUUCCUCUUGAUUUUGCUGGAGAAAACGUCUGGCUUCCUCCAUUUGACGAUCCAACAUCGCCUGGAUCAUCGCUUGCACUCCGGCCAUCGUUAUUGGCUCAGCAGCGGCUUCCACAACCGGUAUUUGCUCAAUCACUGGGGGCUGAUCUCGGUUCCCAUUUGCAUUCAUGUUUCCGCUACGGGUACUUGCCAUCUUGAUCUAUACACCGAAUAAGGUGAAUCUAGAUCUUUAUUUAGGAUUGACGUUUAAAUCAUCCUUAUCACUCCGAAACGUUUAUAUGCUAGUUCUAAUAUCGUAUUCGUACGUUUAGAAUCCUAAACACAUAAGGUUUCCAGAUCCGGUCGGCAACAGACCAUAGAUCCGAUCAAACUAUAGCAUAACAAAUCAUUUAACACGUAAAAGCAAUUUAGGCAUCAUUCCUAAAAUAAGCUAGUGCUUGUGUCUAUUCAGGUGUAUUACCUAAAUCUAUUAGACACACUCCUCACAAUCAUUACUUAGCAUUCUAAGUUUAAGUCUAGAAAUAAAUUCCAUAUUCCUAGUUCGCUUAAACUAAUGCUCUGACACCAACUGUGACAUCCCCAUUUUUCACGGCCAGAAAAGACCGAUUUUUGUUUAUACUUUAUAAAAAUCAGAGUACUUCUUUUAAUAAAAAUGUUGCGGAAUUUGUUCCCAGUAAAACAUGAUAAAUACAUUAUCAAAGCAUUUUUGAAGAAAUGUAUUUUUAUUCAUUUUAAAAUGUUUGGGAUGUCAUCGUUAAUACAGAUACAUAAGCAUAAACAGAACUUACAUUGAUUAUCACUAGUGAUCUACAUCUCUUUAAUCUCUCAGUGUAAUGUGACUUCAUAUCAACACCUGUGAUAUACAUAAACUGAGUGGGUCCGGUUGGGAAACCUGGUGAGUACAAAGGGUUUUCAUCCCACAAUAAAUAAGUUUAUUAAUUUUAUCAAACCAAACAAACCCGAUUACCCGUUCCCGUUAUACAGAUCGUAUGCACACAUAGCACGUAAUUUAUUUAAAAUACUUCAUAUCUAUGUGUAAGAUGAAAGUAACUGUGCACUCACUUUAUUAGGUGGUGAGCCGGCACUCGGACAACACUUCGUUACUCAUAAAACAAUUUCCUCGACAAAACCUAGUAUCAAUAUGAGUAGGGUUUAGUCUGACGUUAACCGCGACUAAUUAAUAGUCUAUCUAUCUAUUAUUAUUAUAUAAACAUUAAAUAACACUCUAUAUAACUCAUAAUAAUAGCCCAAAUACUUAUUAUAAGGUCCUAAUAACAUUACUAUAUUAAAACAUAAGUUAUACUAAAGAUAGGGUAGGCAUAGCUCACUUACAGCGGGUUUUCUUGAAAACCGGGCUUCGUUGGAGCAGCGUUCCCGAGCCAAAAGGCUCUUUUCUCGGGACUCUGAGAGCCUCGAUGCUUCCUUCGGGUGCUAGGGGGUUUACCUAGACUUUAGGGGGCUUAAGGGAGGUUACAGAAAGAAACUAGAGAGAGAAAGUUUAAGGGUGAGGUGUGAGGAAGUUGGAAUGCCCGACACCUCUAUUUAUAGGCUGAAUUCCUGAUGGACUCGCCAAGUAGGAGGACGUACUCUCCGAGUUGGGGCAUGUGGCAGCCUUCUGGUGGUGCCACAUGUCCAAUUAUGGUGGUGCCACAUCACCCCUAUCGCGUAUCAGCCUUUAAAAUUAGAAAAAUCAUAACUUUCGCAUACGAGCUCCGUUUUUGACGUUUUUUUUCAAAACGUAGGAAAAAUCAAGAUCUACAACUUUCAUUUAGACUCCGUCGGCUAAUUCUCGACCGAUCUCAAAUUUAACAGUAAGAGGCGUUUAGACUGUUAAAUGACCGCGAAGAAUUCGUAACUUCUUCAUACGGACUCCAUUUUCGUAUAUCUUUUUACCAUUGAGUUCCUAUUAAUGAGAUAUUCAACUCUCAUUUAGGUCGCGUAAGCUAAAAAACGCUCGAACUAAAAUUCGAGUUUCGGGCUGUACACUACUAAGCGGAAACUUCGAAAAAUCAUAACUUCCUCAUACGAAGUCAGAUUUGGGCGUUCUUUUUAUGGAUUUUCUCAGUUUAACAUACUCUAAAACUUUGGUUUAGAUUACUAAGUCUAAAAAUUCUUCUAUCGUAAAUUUACUUUUUACGCUUCCCGGUGCCGUGCCGGUUCUGUCGUAAAACUCCGACGGGCCAUAACUUUUUCGUUAUAACUCGGAUUUCGGCGUUCUUUAUAUGUACGGAAACCUUGAGACAUAUUAUAAAACUUGGGUUAAGAUUAUUUAUUUCUAAAUAAUCUUUUGUCGAAAAGUCGUUUUCGAUCCCUAUUGCCUCUAAAUUGACUAGCCCGGAUCUACGGGCGUUACAAGAUCGAAGGGUAGGUCAGUACCCAGAAAUGCCUAAAUGUAUGAUUAUAUCAUGAUAUUAUAUGAUAGUGGUAGGGGUGAAAUAGUCACCGGUUACCGGUUGAAAGAUACUGAUGGCAGAUACUGGUUGAAAGAUACCGAUGGCAGAUACCGGUUGAAAGAUAUCGACGACAGUUACCGAUUGAAAGAUACCGAAGGGGUAUACAGAACCCAUGCAAUGCUUAUCUGUAUGUUUAUGAUAUGUUAGUAUGUGAUCAGCACGUUUAUGAUGAUAGUACGUGAUCAGUAUGUUUAUGACAUAUUAUUAUGUGAUAGUGGUAGGGGUGAAAUAGUCCCCGGUUACCGGUUGAAAGAUACCGAUGACAGUUACUGGUUGAAAGAUACUGAUGGUAUUAGGUGGUAUGUGGUAUGAUGGGGGAACUUACUAAGCUUCGUGCUUACGGUUUACAGUUUUGGUUUCAGGUACUUUGUUUCAAAGGAAAGGAGUCGGCUUGGUCGCAACGCAUCACACUAUGUUUUCCGCACACGAGAUCCUUGGGAUUAUACUCUUAUAUGAUUUCAUAAUAUUAUAUUUUGAUUAUUCACACUCUGAUUUUAUGUAAUAACCUAAUUAAAAAUGAAAUUUUUGGUCUUGAAUUUUGGGAUGUUACAUGUUUAUUCUUCGAAAUCAAUCUAGGUAAAAAAAUUAUGGUAAACUCGAUCUUUUUUAGGAUAUUGAAACUUAUUUAGAAAAAGAUUUGUACUAAAUUAUAUUUUAAUAAUUUUUAUAAUUUAAAAGGGAUUUGACAUUAAGUCACAUUGUUUAGCGUUUAAGGGUUAUGACAUUUAGUCAUACGUGUUAGAGUUUAAGGGUUAUGACAUUAAAUCACAUGUGUUAGGGUUUAAGGGUAAUUGCAUUAAGUCAUAUUGUUUAGUAUUUAAGGGUUAUCACGCGAAGUCAUAUAGAUUAGGGUUUAAGGGUUACAACAUUAAGUUAUAUGGGUUAGGGUUUAAGGGUAAUUGUAUUAAUUCAUAUUGGUUAGGGUUUAAGGGUUAUGACAUUAAGUCAUAUGUGUUAGUGUUUAAGGGUUAUGGCAUUAAGUAAUAUGGGUAGAGGUUUACGGGGUUAUGACAUUAAGUCUAUGGGUUAGGGUUUAAGGGUAAUUACAUUAAGUCAUAUUGGUUAGGGUUUAAGGGUUAUGGCGUCAAGUCAUAUGGGUUAGGGUUUCAGGGUAAUUGCAUUUAGUAAUAUUAGUUAGGGUUUAAGGGUUAUGGCAUUAAGUCAUAUGGGUUAGGGUUUAAUGGUAAACGCUUGGUUAGAGUUUAAGAGUUAUGACAAUAAGUCAUAUGGGCUAGGGUUUAAAGUUUAUGGCAUUAAGUCAUAUGCGUAAGGGUUUAAGGGUAAUUGCAUUAAGUCACAGAUAUUAUAGUUUACGGGUUGUGGCAUUAAGUCAUAUGGGUUAGGGUUUAAGUGUUAUGACAUUAAGUAAUAUGGGUUAGGGUUUAAGGGUAAUUGCAUUAAGUCAUACAUGUCAGGGAUAAUUUUUUUAAACCAUUUUACUUUAGACGUAUAUAUAUGUUACAAAAUAUGCAUUUGAUAUUCUUUUAAUUUUAGUUAUCAAUACUAAUUGAAAGAUCUAGUAUGCUCAAAAGUCAUAUUAAAGUGAUAUUGCUAAAUAACAUAUGAUACUAAUGGGUCACACUAAC